RNAcentral lists this ribosomal RNA (500 nucleotides) under uncultured bacterium. Its description in RNAcentral is "partial 16S ribosomal RNA". It matches the Rfam family "Bacterial small subunit ribosomal RNA", at positions 30 to 523 of the family's 1533-position model. The record is from RNAcentral.
AUUGAGCGCUGGCGGCAGGCCUAACACAUGCAAGUCGAGCAGAUGACGGGAGCUUGCUCCUCGAUUCAGCGGCGGACGGGUGAGUAAUGCCUAGGAAUCUGCCUGGUAGUGGGGGACAACGUUUCGAAAGGAACGCUAAUACCGCAUACGUCCUACGGGAGAAAGCAGGGGACCUUCGGGCCUUGCGCUAUCAGAUGAGCCUAGGUCGGAUUAGCUAGUAGGUGAGGUAAUGGCUCACCUAGGCGACGAUCCGUAACUGGUCUGAGAGGAUGAUCAGUCACACUGGAACUGAGACACGGUCCAGACUCCUACGGGAGGCAGCAGUGGGGAAUAUUGGACAAUGGGCGAAAGCCUGAUCCAGCCAUGCCGCGUGUGUGAAGAAGGUCUUCGGAUUGUAAAGCACUUUAAGUUGGGAGGAAGGGCAGUAAGUUAAUACCUUGCUGUUUUGACGUUACCGACAGAAUAAGCACCGGCUAACUCUGUGCCAGCCGCCGCCGUAA